Molecule: long non-coding RNA, 229 nt
Filed under: Mytilus galloprovincialis (Mediterranean mussel)
Lineage: Eukaryota; Metazoa; Mollusca; Bivalvia; Mytilida; Mytilidae
Source: RNAcentral
AAACAUACGAAUAUUGAUGGGUUGCUGUUUCACUGACAUUAAUGAUACAUACGUAAUUUCGAGAUUAGAAUUUUGAUCCAGAAGUGCGAGUCGUAUCAACAUAACUAACCAAAGCCUAAUUUGACUGUUUUAUAAAUACAAAUUUACAAAAUACGACUUCGAUCAGCAUUUUGAUACACAACUGGAUCCCAGUUACAUUGAAAACUCAAAGCACCUAUUGUUAUUCCAC